This 260-nucleotide long non-coding RNA is filed under the name Setaria viridis. RNAcentral describes it as "long non-coding RNA (SVIR_LNC009350)". Lineage: Eukaryota; Viridiplantae; Streptophyta; Magnoliopsida; Poales; Poaceae. The record is from RNAcentral.
AAGCUUGAAGAAGGGACUGAGAGAAAGUAAAAGAAGGAAUGUCAAGCUUGAAGAUAGUCACGAUUUGGAAAGAAAGUGUUGGUGUUGUGCAGAAGGGCUACGCCGAGGGACAACAGAUGGUCAUACGGGGAGAAGAAAGGUGGAGGACCAAGGGUUACCACUGACAAGCGAAAGGAGAUCCAUGAGAGAAAGGACAUGGCGCUGAUAUUUGGAACCCAUAUGUCGGCUGCAUGCUGUCACAUGCUAUGUUGGUGAAUCGC